CUUGCUUCUCUUGAGAGCGGCGGACGGGUGAGUAAAGCCUAGGAAUCUGCCUGGUAGUGGGGGAUAACGUUCGGAAACGGACGCUAAUACCGCAUACGUCCUACGGGAGAAAGCAGGGGACCUUCGGGCCUUGCGCUAUCAGAUGAGCCUAGGUCGGAUUAGCUAGUUGGUGAGGUAAUGGCUCACCAAGGCGACGAUCCGUAACUGGUCUGAGAGGAUGAUCAGUCACACUGGAACUGAGACACGGUCCAGACUCCUACGGGAGGCAGCAGUGGGGAAUAUUGGACAAUGGGCGAAAGCCUGAUCCAGCCAUGCCGCGUGUGUGAAGAAGGUCUUCGGAUUGUAAAGCACUUUAAGUUGGGAGGAAGGGCAGUUACCUAAUACGUGAUUGUUUUGACGUUACCGACAGAAUAAGCACCGGCUAACUCUGUGCC
This 434-nucleotide ribosomal RNA is filed under the name Pseudomonas sp. Its description in RNAcentral is "bacterial SSU rRNA". It matches the Rfam family "Bacterial small subunit ribosomal RNA", at positions 79 to 509 of the family's 1533-position model. The record is from RNAcentral. Lineage: Bacteria; Pseudomonadati; Pseudomonadota; Gammaproteobacteria; Pseudomonadales; Pseudomonadaceae.